Molecule: transfer RNA, 73 nt
Filed under: Camelus bactrianus (Bactrian camel)
Lineage: Eukaryota; Metazoa; Chordata; Mammalia; Artiodactyla; Camelidae
Also listed under: 1 other name
Rfam family: tRNA
About the family: Transfer RNA (tRNA) molecules are approximately 80 nucleotides in length. Their secondary structure includes four short double-helical elements and three loops (D, anti-codon, and T loops).
Source: Rfam by way of RNAcentral
GGGUAUAUAGCUCAAGUGGUAGAGGGCAUGCUUAACAUGCACAAGGUCCUGGGUUCAAUCCUCAGUACCCCCU